RNAcentral lists this ribosomal RNA (432 nucleotides) under uncultured bacterium. RNAcentral's name for it is "partial 16S ribosomal RNA". It matches the Rfam family "Bacterial small subunit ribosomal RNA", at positions 29 to 506 of the family's 1533-position model. The record is from RNAcentral.
AACGAACGCUGGCGGCAUGCCUAACACAUGCAAGUCGAACGAGACCUUCGGGUCUAGUGGCGCACGGGUGCGUAACGCGUGGGAACCUGCCCUUAGGUUCGGAAUAACUCCCCGAAAGGGGUGCUAAUACCGGAUAAUGUCUUCGGACCAAAGAUUUAUCGCCUUUGGAUGGGCCCGCGUUGGAUUAGCUAGUUGGUAGGGUAAAAGCCUACCAAGGCGACGAUCCAUAGCUGGUCUGAGAGGAUGAUCAGCCACACUGGGACUGGGACACGGCCCAGACUCCUGCGGGAGGCAGCAGUGGGGAAUCUUGGACAAUGGGCGAAAGCCUGAUCCAGCAAUGCCGCGUGAGUGAUGAAGGCCUUAGGGUUGUAAAGCUCUUUUACCCGGGAUGAUAAUGACAGUACCGGGAGAAUAAGCUCCGGCGAACUCCGU